This 465-nucleotide ribosomal RNA is filed under the name uncultured bacterium. Its description in RNAcentral is "partial 16S ribosomal RNA". It matches the Rfam family "Bacterial small subunit ribosomal RNA", at positions 28 to 507 of the family's 1533-position model. The record is from RNAcentral.
GACGAACGCUGGCGGCGUGCUUAACACAUGCAAGUCGAACGGAAAGGCCCUGCUUGCUGGGUCCUCGAGUUGCCAACGGGUGAGUAACACGUGAGUGCUCUGCCCUGCACUUCUUGAUAAGCUUUGGAAACUGGGUCUAAUACCUGAUACCAGCCAUCAUUUGUGUGGUGGUUGGAAAGUUUUUUCGGUGUUGGAUGAGGUCGCGGCCUAUCAGCUUGUUGGUGGGGUAAUGGCGUACCGAGGCGGCGACGGGUAGCCGGCCAGAGAGAGUGUACGGCCACACUGAGACUGAGAUAAGGCCGAGACGCCGACGGGAGGAAGAAGGGGGGAAGAUUGAACAAGGGGCGCAAGCCUGAUGCAGCGACGCCGCGUGGGGGAAGAAGGCCUUGGGGUUGUAAAAAAGUUGCGCUAGGGAAGAAGCCUGUUGUGACGGUACCUAGAUAAGAAGCACCGGCUAACUACGUG